RNAcentral lists this ribosomal RNA (671 nucleotides) under uncultured bacterium. RNAcentral describes it as "bacterial SSU rRNA". It matches the Rfam family "Bacterial small subunit ribosomal RNA", at positions 9 to 680 of the family's 1533-position model. The record is from RNAcentral.
GAGUUUGAUCCUGGCUCAGGAUGAACGCUGGCGGCGUGCUUAACACAUGCAAGUCGAACGAAGCGAUUGGGAGGAAGUUUUCGGAUGGAAUCUUAAUUGACUGAGUGGCGGACGGGUGAGUAACGCGUGGGUAACCUGCCUCAUACAGGGGGAUAACAGUUAGAAAUGACUGCUAAUACCGCAUAAGCGCACGGGGAUGCAUGUUUCUGUGUGAAAAACUCCGGUGGUAUGAGAUGGACCCGCGUCUGAUUAGCUGGUUGGCGGGGUAACGGCCCACCAAGGCGACGAUCAGUAGCCGACCUGAGAGGGUGACCGGCCACAUUGGGACUGAGACACGGCCCAAACUCCUACGGGAGGCAGCAGUGGGGAAUAUUGCACAAUGGGGGAAACCCUGAUGCAGCAACGCCGCGUGAGUGAAGAAGUAUUUCGGUAUGUAAAGCUCUAUCAGCAGGGAAGAAAAUGACGGUACCUGAGUAAGAAGCCCCGGCUAACUACGUGCCAGCAGCCGCGGUAAUACGUAGGGGGCAAGCGUUAUCCGGGUUUACUGGGUGUAAAGGGAGCGUAGACGGCGUUGCAAGUCUGAAGUGAAAGCCCGGGGCUCAACCCCGGGACUGCUUUGGAAACUGUAAUGCUGGAGUGCUGGAGAGGCAAGCGGAAUUCCUAGUGUAGCG